This 224-nucleotide unclassified non-coding RNA is filed under the name Cladorrhinum foecundissimum. Its description in RNAcentral is "partial internal transcribed spacer region". The stretch from base 1 to 46 matches the Rfam family "Eukaryotic small subunit ribosomal RNA", at positions 1786 to 1831 of the family's 1831-position model. Lineage: Eukaryota; Fungi; Ascomycota; Sordariomycetes; Sordariales; Podosporaceae. The record is from RNAcentral.
AAGUCGUAACAAGGUCUCCGUUGGUGAACCAGCGGAGGGAUCAUUACAGAGUUGCAAAACUCCCCAAACCAUCGCGAACCCACCCCUAAACAGUUGCUUCGGCGCGCGCCCCCCCCCACCGGGGGCCCGCCGGAGCCCACCAAAACUCUUGUUUUUACCAAUGGCCUCUCUGAGUUAUGUACUUUAAUAAGUCAAAACUUUCAACAACGGAUCUCUUGGUUCUG